This 563-nucleotide long non-coding RNA is filed under the name Homo sapiens (human). RNAcentral describes it as "HSALNT0027328". The record is from RNAcentral. Lineage: Eukaryota; Metazoa; Chordata; Mammalia; Primates; Hominidae.
CCAGACGGAGGUGGGGGGACUGAGGGGCUGCUCCCCAGGAAGUCGUCCCCAACUGAGCCCUGUUGGGGAGCCUGUGGCCGAGGUAAAUUUGUCCUGAGCCCCAGGCAGCCUGGUCUCCAGCCACGUGGUCAAGCCAGGGCCUGGGGUUCUGGAAACUCCAAUGGGACCCUUUGGGCUGUGGCAGGAGGGUUGUCUCAGGGAAACAGGGCGAUGGGGCUGGAGGCAAAAUCCAUUUUUGUAGGGCUUUAAGUGGCAAAUUGAGGAGUUGAAACUGAGGGGUUUGGAAACCAAUGGGGAUUUUUAAAUGAAGACAUUUUAGGAGGGUACAUCAGGCAGGGGGCCUCAGAAGGGACUGGAAGGGGAAUGCCAGAGGCAGGGAGACCUUAAGGGCUGCUGCGAUGUAGGCGAGAGUUGCCAAGGGCUGAGGGCAGCCAUGGUGGAGGAGCAGCAGCUGGAGGGUGUGGCGGCCUGGCAGGAGACACAGUGAUAUGUGCAAGGUGUGAGUGCAGGCCCAGCAGAGGCCUGGCAGGAGACACAGACGGGGUGGCUCCGGGUGGGGUGCA